This 587-nucleotide ribosomal RNA is filed under the name uncultured bacterium. Its description in RNAcentral is "bacterial SSU rRNA". It matches the Rfam family "Bacterial small subunit ribosomal RNA", at positions 338 to 916 of the family's 1533-position model. The record is from RNAcentral.
CCUACGGGAGGCAGCAGUGGGGAAUUUUUCGCAAUGGGGGAAACCCUGGCGAAGCAACGCCGCGUGGAGGAUGAAGGCCUUCGGGUCGUAAACUCCUGUCGACCGGGAAGAAUGCACCUGACCUAAUACGUCGGCGUGUUGACUGUACCGGUGGAGGAAGCCACGGCCAACUCUGUGCCAGCAGCCGCGGUAAUACAGAGGUGGCAAGCGUUGUUCGGAAUUACUGGGCGUAAAGGGCGCGUAGGCGGCCUGCCAAGUCCCGUGUGAAAGCCCCCGGCUCAACCGGGGAGGGUCAUUGGAAACUGGGGAACUUGAGUGCAGAAGAGGAGAGCGGAAUUCCACGUGUAGCGGUGAAAUGCGUAGAGAUGUGGAGGAACACCAGUGGCGAAGGCGGCUCUCUGGUCUGUAACUGACGCUGAGGCGCGAAAGCGUGGGGAGCGAACAGGAUUAGAUACCCUGGUAGUCCACGCCGUAAACGAUGAGUGCUAAGUGUUAGAGGGUUUCCGCCCUUUAGUGCUGCAGCAAACGCAUUAAGCACUCCGCCUGGGGAGUACGGCCGCAAGGCUGAAACUCAAAGGAAUUGACGG